ACAGUUCUAUUUGCCACUCUGCCUUUGGAAUGAUAAAUGGUGAAAUUGUAAUGCCUACUUUAAAUCGUGCCAUGUUGAUUUGGUGAAAACAAUGUAUAUAACUCUACCCAGGGCUAUACUUGAUGGGAUACAAUCCAGGAAUUCAGUAUUUAGACACCAUAUGUUGGCUUCUUUGUUCUUAUCCCUUUUUAUUUAAGCAGGAGCUUCAGAAGACAAUUCUUACAUUCUUAAAUUAAAUUCUUAAAUCUGUGACUCUUUGUAUUAUUGGGAUAAAAGGGUUAGAGGAGUUCUUCAGUUUAAAAGAAGUUGUAGUAUUCUUGGCUGCUCUGAGGGGUCUGAAGCUGGGGUCUGCUCUAGUUCUUGUCUAUCCAGUGUGCUGCAUUAGAAGUGGAGGCAGAACAGCCAGCCCCUGGGAGAGAGGGAAAUCUGCUGUCACUCCAGCAAACUCUGAGAGACUCUGGGUCCUCCUACAAGCUCUUACUGGGUCCCUGAAGUUGGUUUAUACUUCUAAACAGAUAUAUCCAGCUAUGUUGCAAGAAGGGAAUGGCUCUUUACCCUUAACAGUCUGCACAGAUAAGGACUGUUUGCUACCAGAGAACCUGUUUUUCCAAGUAAUGAAGUAAAGCCAACUGGAUUGGUGAUAAGAGCUUGCUUUUCCUAGACAGAAUUCAUCCCAGGAGAAUGCGUGGUGCAAAGUAGUCAACAGCUCUAACACUGCUGCAGCAGAAUAACCCUUCAUCUGGGGUGCUUCCUGGCCUGAGUGCAAUAAAAUAUAGCUAAGAAAACUACUUUCAGGAGGCUGAAAUCUGGAGGAGAUCAAAAUCUGGCUCAUUUGGCACAGGAAAGCCAAGAAACCAUGCAGGACUGGAAACUUCUAGUUGGUUUUCAUUUGAUUGGGAAAUUCUCUGCAAGGCCUUAUGGAAAAGUCAGCUGGGUGUUUUGUCCUGCUCCCUCCCAGGCAGAAGAGCAGCCCUCACUGGAGAAGAUGGAGUGGAUUUUGAUGGCACCACACAGAAUCUGAGGAGGUUCCAGGCUGUUCCUUCCAUGCUGAGACAUCUAUGGAGGUGGGAGAUGCAGACCCCUGUGGGGAAAGAGUGGGGCAGUCUAAGGACGACCAUGGAUGGAAUGGAAAGAGUGAUCACCUCUGAGAGCAGAGUUUGGUCUCUUGCUGCAUCAGCUCCUGGGAAAUCCUGCCAGUCAGUACAGGAGCUCCAGGCUUUCUGUGGGUCCCCAGGAGCAGAAGACAAGCUAACCAUGCUUGGGUGUAGGCAUGUAUGACGGGUUCCUGACAUGGCUCAUAGACUCACAGUAAAUUGCUGUUUUCACAUCUGCAGUUCUUUGCCAAAAAUGUAGAUUUCCGUAGAAAACCUUUCAUACCUUCAAUGCACAUCACAGAGUAUGCUGAUUUGGAAGGAAUACACAAGGAUCACCGAGUCCAGCUCUUACCCUGCACUGGACAUCCCAAGAGACACACCAGAGUGCUCUCAGAGUGCCUGACAGAAUUGUCCAAACACUUCCUGAACUCUGCCAGGCUUGGGGCUGUGACCACUUCCCUGGGAUGCUACCACUGAUCACUGAAGUUGAAUGCAGAAGUACUCUCUUUUUCUCGUAAUUUGUGUGCUUCCACAGCCCUUUCCAAAACUGAGCCUUUAGAAACAAAUGCAGAGUACAUGACCCAUUAGUCUGACCCUGUGGAAAAUAUUAGAUUAUGCAGAUGUUUUUGCACAUCCUUUGUGUAAUGGUAGAGCUAUUGUGUAACUUGAUUUUUUUUGUUAUGAGCAAACUUACACCAGGGGCAGCUGGUAGUACUAUCUUCUGAUCACAGAGCUCCAGAAGGAUAUAAAUAGGGAAUGAAGAAUGAACAGUCGUAUUAAAAGCUUGCCCUGAGUGGAUUUUUUUUUUUUUUUUCCUGAGCUUAUAAAUAGAAAUAAAACCUAAACACACCGGAAUAAACAAAACUAAAUAGACUGAAAUAAACACAGAACUGUGGCAGGUAUUGUCAUCACUGCUGACACGAGUGAAUGGUUUUUUUGGUUAAUGACAAAGCAAAGCCAGGAAGGAACCUUAAAGAUAUCCAAGUCUGAGCAGUGGAAAUGCUAGACUGUUUUUCUAGGAGGUGGAGCAGAGAUGAGGAGCCCAAGCCCUGUCUGGUGUCACAGGGUGUCAGUGGCUCUAGGUAAGGCUUGGUGAUGCACACACCAAGGUGUGGGAGGUGGGGACAGACCUCUCCUUCCUUCCAGGGCCACACCAGCCUCUUCCAGCUGAGAUGCUCCUGCCUUCUGUCAUCCAGAGGAUGGCAAAAUGUGGGUGGUAGGUGAAAAAAUGCUGAUGAGGCUACUAAAGAGUCAGCCAAAUACUUGGAAUAUUUUUCAAAACUUUUGGCAGUCGGAACAGGAUUGCAAUCUGGAAGAAAAAGACCUGUGUGUCUUGUUCAGUAGAUGUUUCCAGCUGCUGGUAAUUGUAUUGGCAGUAGGAGUUAGGUAAUAACUGCAAAGUUAUUGCUUUUUAAUGCAUGCAAAUGUUGUGCAACUGCCACUGAUGUUCAGCUAGACAUGCCCUACUUUGCAUGUCUCAGUUUUUGCCAUCUAAAUAAAUUGCAGGUUGUUGAACAAUCUCUUCCUUUCCCAACACUAUAUUGUUUGCUAAACAAUUUUUUUUUCUUUUUUUGUUUGGGUUGUUGUUUUUUUUCUCCUCUAAGAAGAAUGAAGUAUUGCCUUUUUCCAAAAUCAAAGCUCUUUAGGAUGGUUAGCCUUUCUGGUCUGUCUUAUUACUGAUAUUUAUACAGAUGUACUGGCAAACACAGAUUUAUUGCAAUAUUUAUUAGGCUGAAUUUGAGGUUAUUUAUAAUGUGGUUAGAUGGCUAUUUAUUAGACAUGUCACUGUAGCUAUUUAACACUUCUAUAGCUGUCUAGCUGGUAUUAGGACAUAAAACAGAAUUUAUUGUAUUUUAUCCAGAAAAUAUUACACGAAGAGUAAAUUCUAACAAAGACACAACCAUCAGAAUAAUGAAGGGACCAGGAAGAAGAAAACUGCUGUUUUAAACAGCAAUUCUCAGCCAAACUGAAGGAGGGAAAUAUUUAGGAUGUGAGGAAGUCCAGGUGCAGUUUUCAGGUUCCCUAAAGUGCACCAACACUCUGCCUAACAGCUGACCUUUCCCUUAUGAAAUGGACAUUUUUCAUUUAGAAAAGGAAAUGAGAGUCAUCUUCUUUGAUUUGUUUUGUGCUGAUUAAGUAGAGUUAAAAAGUUCUAUGGGACCAUUUUCUCAAGGAACAACUUCAUAAGAACCAAGUAUUUCACAGGCAGGUGUUACUGUGGUGUUUUUAAUGUCUUGUGUUAAGGUGGUAUUGACUAGUGUAUUUCACUGUGAUGGAUUCCAAAGACUUUUUUUCAUAUUGGUGUUUUUUAACUCUGCAUUUCACUGUUGUGAAAGCUUUCUGCAGCAUCAGGACAAAAAGCUUUAUUUCUAUUAAUAUCUAUGGGGUUUGGAUCUUUUCCUUAUUUUAAACAGAAAAUGAGUGCACAUGUUGAAUGUCUCAUGGAGAAAUGUGAAGGAGACUUCCUUGCAAGGAAGAGACCAUAAGUGUAAAAAAAAUUUUCAAAAAUAGUUAUGAAUUUCCUUUAAAAAUAGUUUCCUGUAACCUUUAGAAAAUGCAGAUUCUUUAGGAAAAUAAGUCUCCCAUUUUCAUAUACACACACAGACCAUCUUAAAAUACUUCACCAAAAGAAGCCAGUCUCUGUUUAACAAAUAAACCCAUUUCUGUGGGAGGAUGUGGAGGAGGGAGGAAAUGAGGCCAUGGAAGGUUUGCAGGUGUGGGGGUGAAGCUGGGCAGCCACUGCUUCCCACUGCUUGUGAAGGUGCAGGGAGACAGGAUGGAGUGAAGGGAGCUGUUCUCCUUUUCCUUGGGCCUCCUUUUGGCACUUUCUUGGGGCAAAGGAGCGUUUGUGCAGAAGCAGCAGGCUCCAUCCUGGCCCUUGCCUUUCCAGCCUAAUUCAAAUUGUACACCCCAAGCCCCAUGGGAUAACCCUCCCUGCAGAUACCUAAUUAUCUCAUCACAGGAUGGCAGCUAUUGUGGACCAAUAAAUACAUAUUUAUCCUUUGAUUCUUGCAGAUGGGGGAACACAAAUACUUCAUCCUCCAGCCUUGAAUGGCACAAGAUGAGAUCUUGACCAACACAGAAGUAGGAAAUCACGGGGGAAACCUCUGUCCAGAUUACACCUGCUUUGAGAUAAGUUUUAAUGAUGAUUUUUAGAGUGUAGCUGCAAACUAAGCUCAAGCUAAUGAUGGUGAGAAACUACAGUAGGUAAUUCAAGGAGACUAUACAUUUUCUUAAAUUCAUUAGCUGUCCACUGAGGGUUGAAGAGAAUAUAACUAAAAAUCAUUACAAGUGAAUUAUGAAGUUCAAAUACAAUGAGUUACUUUGCUCAUACAAAACUUCAAGGGAGACAAAUCAGGGAGGUUUAUUAGCAUAGCCUACUUUUUUAACAAACCUUACAAGGAAGGGAAAAUAUAAUAAUGUAAGUUAGUUGAAGAUUCAUGUUCCCAUAAUAGCUGUACCUGCAGUAUCCUACCUGGGAAAUUUAUUCUCUGUGGGUGAUGAUGCUGUUGAAUAGUUUUUAUUUCUCAGCCAUUGUUAUUUUUUUCCCCUCUAAGAAGAUUGUUUGUGCAUGCCUAUUAACAUGCAAUCCUCUCCUACCUAGAACUUUCUUCAGCUGCAUUACACCUGAGCCAGGGGUUUUGCAAGGGAGCAAAGGGCAGCAUGCAAAACUGAUCAUAAAUACACUCCCAAAAAGUCAUUUUUAUUUGAGCUCAUUCAUUCUAAUUGUUCUCUUGAGGCUUGAUUUGGAACACAGAGAAAGCCAAAGGGGACUUACUGGGCUGUGGGUCAGGUUUUCAGGUCACCUGUACAUGGCAAGUGGUGAAUAAUGAGCAGCACUGUGCCAGCCCCUUAGGCCUGACCCUGAGGAUGGAGGUAAGAACUCAACCACUGACCUCAUCAAGUGCAUUCUCUGGGAUGGAGGAGAGCACAGCCACUAACUCCUUCUGCAGCAAAAGGCAGCCACAGACCUUAAUGAUUAGCAGGCUGGUGUGUCCCAGUAAUGCAGUUGACCAUGCCCUGAUUAAGUGGUGCAAACUGUGCCUCUGAACAUUUUCUCCGUGGAAUUCGUUCUUUUGUUGAUGGCAAUGGUCCAAGAAGUUGUUAGUCACUGCUGGGACUUGAUAUGAUUACAGAUAUAUUUCCAUGUUCAAUUACGAGUACUGUGAUGACUGAUUUGUCCCUUCCACUGGUAUAAACAGGUUAGGAUUAACACACAUAUUAUGCAAACCAAACUACAUACAUUAAAAACUGUUUUGAGUGGA
This is a non-coding RNA of Cyanistes caeruleus (blue tit), 5359 nucleotides long. NCBI's taxonomy places the organism in Eukaryota, Metazoa, Chordata, Aves, Passeriformes, Paridae. The record is from RefSeq and is a predicted model, not a curated record.